UGUCGGAUGUGGCUCAGCAGAAAGGCCUCCCAAAGUCUGUGAGCACAGCGUCCUCAGCAAAACCCCCUCCUCCCACCACACCUUCCUCAACAAACCCCUCACACCAACUGGCUCUGGAGGACUGUGUCCAAUUGUGAGCUGCCUCGGACUCAGGUCACUGUCCUGAGUGCUGCUGCCACCACCUCCCUGAAGUGGCUCACAAGUCCUCAGCCUCCGCCGGAGCCCCAAGUGCCAGACUCCCCCUUCAGCCGCACAGCCCGGGCACUCGGACCAGGCUGCCACCUUCCCUGUGCUUGCCGGGGCCAGGUAGGACACGUCUCACAACAGAGCCUCUUCCCGGGGCGCCCUUCUGCAGUGAUUCCUGCCGUCCCGCACCCCACUGUGUUCUGCUCACACCAGGCAGGGGUGAGAGGCAGUGUGGCCCCUCUGGGAAGCUCCCAGGAGGGCAGGGCUGGGUGCUGCCCUGCAGAUACAGUACCUGCUGCACAGGGAAUGGACGCCUCCUGAAAGGUGGCCCCAGCCCAGGAAUGGCUGGGACACCCACUGCAGCCUUGCCCAGGGUCUGCUUCUGGAGAACACUUGCCCCUGUCUCCCCCAACCCCCACCACGCUCUGCAUCUCACAGCCACCUGGAAGGAGAUGUGGACCCCACUUGGGGAAGGAGCUGCUCAGAGCCCCCAGAGCCCCCCACUUCCUACCACACAGCCAUCCUGCUGCUGUGCGAUACAGAUGGACCAGGGCUUGUCCUGAAGAUCCCAGGAUACACAUUCCUCAGGGAUAGCUACUCUCCUCCCCUCCCUGUUACUAGACUGGUUUUCCAUGGACUCCUUUAAGCCUCCAAGUCUGGCCUCUGGUCAGAUUUCAAAGACAUGAUGGGGUCGUCUGUUAUAGACUGAGUAGAUCAUGUGGCACCAGGUGAGGGCUGCUCAGGCCUGCAUUAAGGAGGGGAGCCCAAACAAUGUACCUCCCCUUCCCCCCACCCACAAGGAAGCAGCUGCUGCUGGCUCCUAUCCAAGAGACUGGAAGAGAGUUCCUUAGAACAUCUGGGACCCAGCAGUUCCACUCCCAGGCCUAACUCUAAGAGGGCAAAGUCAAGCCUCCACUCAAAACCUUGUGUGUGCACACACUCCCAGCAGCAGGAUUCACAACAGUCACGAAGUGGAAGCAGAGCCAGCUGUCCAGUGGAGGAUGAACACACAGCCGGGAAAACAUGGGCCCUGCAACCGCAGCCACCUCAGGGACAAGUGCAGGAGCGAUGCAUGCUGUGUGAGAAGCUGGGCGCCAGGCGGAAAGCAGAGUCCGGGAGCGGGGGGAGGAGGGGACAGCAAGUGUCUACUGAUGGCCCUGAGGUUUAAGGUGAUGGAGCCGGUCUAGAUAGAAUUGGGGGUGAUGGUUGUGCAACUGGGAAUACACUAAAAUCCCUGACUUGUACACUGGCCACCUGAAGUGAACAGUACAUGCUUUCUCUCUCAGUAAAGCUAAAGCUACGCAAAGAACAGCAGACAUCCCGCAUGAAGUCAGCUCUCCAGGGCCGCACUGUGGGAGCUAUGGGCUGGCAGUGUCCUGCUCUGCUCUUGCCGCGCAGGAGGGAUGCACACUCAGGGCCCCAGUGGGGUCACGGCCUUGCCAGGAGAACUCCCUCCGGGGAUGGCAGCCUGCCAUCGCCUGGCCUAGCCUGGAUGCCACAUCCUGCGGCAGAGAAGCAGCCUCCUGCUUGACUGUGUGGCCUGGGGACCCUUUGUCUCCCCGGUCAGUUUCAUCCUUGCCCCAGGCUGUGCCGCUGAUGAAGCAACAUCGUAGCUGAUGGUGAAGGGCCCGAUCCCAGCACGGAGGCUGGUCUUCCCUGGGUGCCUGCUUGAGCACGUGGCCCAAAACAGCCGUUGCAUGGGGCACUCGGAACCCAUCACACCCUUGCCCCUUCCCAACCUUCCGCCCCUUGGCAGAGGCCCCUCCUCCUCCUGGUCCAGUCCUGCCCACACCUGGGUGCCCACCUCCCCUCCCUGUGGUGUCCAGGUGCUGCCCCCCACAUGCCCUGGGCAGCACUGCUCAUCGUGGCCCCGUCUGUGGCCUGGACAGGCUCUGGCCACUCCUGCGUUGGCGCAGUUUCCUCGGGAGGCCCCUACCAACACCACUCGGCACGGCGGGCUCAGCACAGCAGUGGCAGCGGGUGGGAGUACUCGCCUCUGCCCGGCCCCGGCUGGCGGUUUUCCAUUUGGAUUUGGGGAUGAGCAGCCAAUGAGCCUAUCUCAUUCCCGUUAACGUGAGAGAAACAUCCAGACGCUAUCCUCAGGUCUCACACACCCCUGCCGGGCUCUGCACUGCACCUGGCAGGGGCACCCCUGGCUACAUCCUAGGCAUCAGCUCCCAGGCCCGAGCGCCUCUCCUCACACUGGGGAGUGGAGCCCUCAGGACCUAGAGACACUGGCUUGAGAAACUUUUGAGAUGCAGUCUCGCUCUGUUGCCGAGGCUGGAGUGCAGUGGUGUGAUCUCAGUUUACAGCAGCCUCUGCCUCCUGCGGGUUCAGGAGAUUCUCGUGCCUCAGCCUCCUGAGUAGCUGGGAUUACAGGCACGUGCCACCA
RNAcentral lists this long non-coding RNA (2578 nucleotides) under Pongo abelii (Sumatran orangutan). RNAcentral describes it as "lincRNA". The record is from RNAcentral. Lineage: Eukaryota; Metazoa; Chordata; Mammalia; Primates; Hominidae.